This 455-nucleotide ribosomal RNA is filed under the name uncultured bacterium. Its description in RNAcentral is "partial 16S ribosomal RNA". It matches the Rfam family "Bacterial small subunit ribosomal RNA", at positions 29 to 523 of the family's 1533-position model. The record is from RNAcentral.
AACGAACGCUGGCGGCAGGCUUAACACAUGCAAGUCGAACGCACCCUUCGGGGUGAGUGGCAGACGGGUGAGUAACGAGUGGGAACGUACCAUGCGGUUCGGAACAACCCAGGGAAACCUGGGAUACUACCGGAUGCGCCCGCUCAUGGGCGGGGAAAGGUCGACUGCCGAAGGAUCGGCCCGCGUCGGAUUAGCUAGACGGUGGGGUAACGGCCCACCGUGGCGAAGAUCCGUAGCUGGUCUGAGAGGAUGAUCAGCCACAAUGGGGCUGAGACACGGCCCAGACUCCUACGGGAGGCAGCAGUGGGGAAUAUUGGUCAAUGGGCGCAAUCCUGAACCAGCCAUGCCGCGUGAGUGAAGAAGGCCUUAGGGUUGUAAAGCUCUUUCAGCGGGGACGAUAAUGACGGUACCCGCAGAAGAAGCCCCGGCUAACUUCGUGCCAGCCGCCGCCGUAA